RNAcentral lists this long non-coding RNA (1062 nucleotides) under Ornithorhynchus anatinus (platypus). RNAcentral describes it as "lncRNA (ENSOANG00000038712.1)". Lineage: Eukaryota; Metazoa; Chordata; Mammalia; Monotremata; Ornithorhynchidae. The record is from RNAcentral.
CUACUUUGGAAAACGAGUUGGAGGCAAUUAACAGUAAACUUUGAGAAGUUAAAAAAUCCAUAAAUUGCAUACACUAAAACCUGACAUAAGAGCUUAGGCCCUCAAUUCUGUGAUGUCCCAGCGACAAGCUGUGUGUAAAAGUGUCUUUUUAAAUAAAGCACCCCUGAGGUAAUUUCAUCUUUUAAAUUUUGUCCCAACGACAAGUUGUGUGUGUAUGUGUGUGUUUUUACAGAAAGCACCCCUGGGGAAAUUUCACCUUGUAGACUUCGUCCUAUUAGGAAGGCAUGAUUGGAACUAAAAUAUAUAUAUAUAGGGAACUUUAAAAACAUUCUCCACUGGCCUGUCUCCUUAUAUUGCUCAAACGCUCCACUCUACACACCUCUUAACCUCAACUGCCCACGCCAAGGAAACUUAAAGAAAAACUAGGAACGCAAAAGACCUGCUGAACACAUGUCAACCCCUUAACCACCGAGUCUCCACUCCCUUUCCCAAGGUUCCCAAGCUUCGCUCCUUGGAAAACAAAUCCGUUUCCAUUUCAGUUGAAAACCACACUGGGAGGGUAAUUUCCCUCGACUUGUACCGUGGCCUUCACCCCCGUCCGAUGGGAAAAAAAAAAAAUAAAGCCCAGGUUCCACCCCAAACUUAGGGACAAUAACUUUGUGAAUUCAAGUUGUUUUUUGUUUUUUUUUUUAAGCGCCUGGAAGGGGGAGGGAUGGGGUCGAAGGCAAUCGAUAGUUCUUUCGGGAGAAUCAAAGAAGUUAGCCGCACAAUGUGCUCAGGGGGAGAAGGCGUCAAGACCCCAGGGUGGAGAGUGCGGGCGGAGCGUGCGACGGAGUGUGGGAGCGAGAGGAAGCAACAGCCCGAGAGGGAGGCCGCGCACGCGCGCACCAGGCCGGCCUGCGUCGCGCCCUUCAAAGAUGGAGGGGGCGCCUCCCGCCCGCCCGCACGGCGCCGUGGCGCGGGGGGGGAGCGGGACCCGCGGCCGAGGGACGGGACGCCGGUUCGAAUCCCGCCUCCGUCCUGGAAGAGGGGGAUGACGAUAAUAAUAACAAUAAUAAAGCA